Molecule: ribosomal RNA, 492 nt
Filed under: uncultured bacterium
Lineage: Bacteria
Description: partial 16S ribosomal RNA
Rfam family: Bacterial small subunit ribosomal RNA
Source: RNAcentral
AGUGAACGCUGGCGGUAGGCCUAACACAUGCAAGUCGAACGGCAGCACAGUAAGAGCUUGCUCUUACGGGUGGCGAGUGGCGGACGGGUGAGGAAUACAUCGGAAUCUACUUUUUCGUGGGGGAUAACGUAGGGAAACUUACGCUAAUACCGCAUACGACCUACGGGUGAAAGCAGGGGAUCUUCGGACCUUGCGCGAUUGAAUGAGCCGAUGUCGGAUUAGCUAGUUGGCGGGGUAAAGGCCCACCAAGGCGACGAUCCGUAGCUGGUCUGAGAGGAUGAUCGGCCACACUGGAGCUUGGACACGGUCCAGACUCCUACGAGAGGCAGCAGUGGGGAAUAGUGGACAAUGGGGGCAAGCCUGAUCCAGCCAUACCGCGUGGGUGAAGAAGGCCUUCGGGUUGUAAAGCCCUUUUGUUGGGAAAGAAAAGCAGCAGGUUAAUACCCCGCUGUUCUGACGGUACCCAAAGAAUAAGCACCGGCUAACUUCGUG